CCUACGGGAGGCAGCAGUGAGGAAUAUUGGUCAAUGGGCGGAAGCCUGAACCAGCCAAGUAGCGUGCGGGAUGAAGGCCCUACGGGUCGUAAACCGCUUUUGCACGGGGAUAACACCCUCCACGUGUGGAGGUCUGCAGGUACCGUGCGAAUAAGGGCCGGCUAAUUCCGUGCCAGCAGCCGCGGUAAUACGGAAGGCCCGAGCGUUAUCCGGAUUCAUUGGGCUUAAAGGGAGCGUAGGCGGGCUGUCAAGUCAGCGGUAAAAUCGCGGGGCUCAACCGCGCCCCGCAGUUGAAACUGGACGCGUUGAGUUCACAACAGGCAGGCGGAAUGUGUGGUGUAGCGGUGAAAUGCAUAGAUAUCACGAGGAACCCCGAUUGCGAAGGCAGCCUGCCGGGGUGCGACUGACGCUGAGGCUCGAAGGUGCGGGUAGCAAACAGGAUUAGAUACCCGUGUAGUC
RNAcentral lists this ribosomal RNA (459 nucleotides) under uncultured bacterium. Its description in RNAcentral is "partial 16S ribosomal RNA". It matches the Rfam family "Bacterial small subunit ribosomal RNA", at positions 338 to 795 of the family's 1533-position model. The record is from RNAcentral.